UGUUUGAAGGGCCACAGCAUGAAAGCAAACAAUCCUGGUAGCACGUAAAUUGAAACAGUGCAAAAGUUUCUAAAAACUGUGACGGAAAGCCGGCUCUCCAAAGAGACUUUUGCUUUCGUGGCUUACCUUGGACAUGAGCUUCAGACCUCGUUCCACUCUGGGCAGCGGCUUUUUAUCCAAGAUCCCAGCCUCAUAGGGGGACACAAUGGCCGGGUUGAUGAAACGUAGGAACAUGGCACUACCCACUGCACCUAUGCUGUUCUGUGGGAACCGCUGACUCACAACCUGAAUGGAUAGGAACGUGUGGAGUGGAAAGUCUGGAUAUACUUUUCACAGAGGAGCAGUUUAUGCUGCUUUGAACGCACAACUACUGGACCUUGGAUGGUUUGCAUCAUUUGAAAAAACCAUCAACAAGAUGGAAACGUUUUGGAAACCCUCGUUUUGGAGGCAUUUCAAGGAAAACACAGAAGAUACUAAACAAGCAGACCACGCUCUGUGCUCAGCUAAUCUGUCAAGAGGACGGGGUGGAAGCAGGGUACCCAAUAUAAUAUUUGAAUUAAGUGUUUACUGCUUUCAUUUUUAGACCACCAAUAAAGAAAGCAACACAAAUUCUUCUCAUUUUAGCUUUUAGUAGAGCUGCGUUUAUUCUCAGCCUAAUGAACAUCUGCACCUCAGUUUCUUUCCCUCCUCAACAGGCUAAGCUGUCUAUUCUAUUUAGACUAGACAGAUGAACACAAUUUUAUCAUGCACUCUCUUUUGGUUUUCUCUGUUUAUUGUAGACCUAAUAAUUAUACCACAGAAGCCCGACCUUAACAAAAAGCAAAUAAUUUUGGCCUGAACUGGCCAAAAAUCGGAGAACAGGACACGACUGAUUUUUGUUUUUGUUUUUUGGUCAUGUCUAUCAAAAUGACAGACAACAAAAAAGUCUAGUGCAACCUCUGGGUGAGAUGCCCUCUCCUUACUGGAGACAUAGAACUCUGAAAAAGUUCAAAAUCUUACACAUCAAAUUCUUUUUCUUUUAUUUUUUUUACUGCAACGUGUAACAUCAACAUCUAAUGGAUUUGCACUUUGUGUGGCCUGGUUGAUUUGCUUCAAAUGACCUAACUGACUUUUUCUUUUCUGCAACAUUUUUAAAAUUCACAUGAUAAUUGGAUGGAAAAAUAGCUCUGAUCUUCUAGGCUCUGAGAAACUAAUUUUGUAUUUUCAAGUAUCUUUAACAAUGACUAACACUAAUUAUUGGAAAAUGAACAGACAACAUAUUUGUAAAAAUCUAUUUUUUUGUAGAAGAAUGUAACAAUUGGUGCUUUCCAGGUGAAUUUAAACUUAUGAAGCAGCACAUAUAUUCAGACCCAUCCUGCUUCAGUCGGACAUUUUUUAAGUCCCGUGUUCUCAUGCUGCUACCUCAAAAAAAAAAAAAAGAUUCACUCACCGCAUCAGCAUAAAUGAUUUGAUCAAACUUGCAGUAAACACUGAAGGAUCCAAGUUUUGCAAAUAAAUGCUCCGACCAUUUGUCAAUUUUGUAAACAGCUUCAUUACUCAUUAUUGUAGCAACACCUCAAGUCACUAACUAUGUAAAGACUUCCACUACUUUCAUUCCGCUUCUGGUUGAAGACUGCAACUCUCUACAACCCUGACCAACUGGUCAGACUGACAGACUGAGUCUCUAUCAAUGCUUGGGACUGAUUUCCACUGUUGCCGUAUUCAACAAAACUAUUUGUAAAAAAAGAAAAAUAAAUAAUAACUUGCAAAUGCUCAGUAUUCAUCUUAUAUAUGUACUGCAUAUCCAUGCAGAGUUCCUAAAAUGAGGAAGUGCACGGCCAGGCACUCCAACGCCGGGAGUCAGGCUGGUGGAGUCAGUGGCAAAACACUGGUUUUUGGAUGAAACCAAGGUCGUAUGUACUUACUGCAAUGAUGAAUUAUCCUUUCACUGAAGCACAACCAGUUCAUAGUUGACAUUUCUAAUUACAUUUGAAACAGUGACUUCUCUUAAACCGUCCAGAAUAGAAAACCUGGAAAACUGACAUGUUUGGUUUGAGACAAUGAAAAAUGUUCUUUAACAUUUUCAGAACAAUAUGCAUUUUUACAUUUCAAGCUUACAGAGUUAACUGUGAUUAGUCACAGCACUAGAGUGUGAUUAAUCCGAUUUAAUUCUUUAAUCGAUUGACAGCACUAAUAUCUGUCAGCAGGGCUUUUCCAACAUGGCAGGAACGUCUAUGAAUAUGGAGAUAUAUCUAUGCAUCUACACACAUGCAUAGGAGGAUGGAUUUCCUUUAAACGCCGUUUUAUAAAGUGGAAUUAUUGCGCAGGCUUUUUUGUUGUUACUAGUCCAGUUGUGGCUGAAAAGUUCACAAAGGUCACUGAAGUAAAUUGAAACUGGUAAAAGUAAUAAAAAUUUACUUAAGAUUCACCUGUGAAAAUCAGAUGAUUUUGAAAUGUGUUUCAACAGUCAUUUAAAAAAAGUUUGAAUGAAAAACAAAAUAGACUGACCUACUGAUCUUUAAGGAUGUGUAUGGAUUAAUAGAGAAUCAUUAUCCAAUCGCAGUUCUUGUUUACUUAUUUUAAAGAAUAAACUGGAACAAGACUGAUAAUACCAUUCAGUGCAGAUAAUAAAACUAUUAAUUGGUUCUUCGCACUGUGACAAGAACUGGUCCUAAGCACUCAGAACGAUAACUACAUGAGGGGAAAUGAAUGAAGAGCAGAAAUACCAUUGGGGCUAAUUGGCCUGUUUCUCUAGAGUUGAAUAUUUCUUCUGAAGAAUCCACAUAAGCACUUUAGCACAUGAGAAAAUACAUUAAUAUGCACUGCAUCCAGGAAGUACUCACAGACCUUCACCUUUUAAACCACCUGCCAGCAUGGUGGUGCUUGGACAAAUCAAUAUUUACUACUGUGGUACGUUUUACAAAUAUGUUUGAGAACAACUGCACUAUACCAAUAUUCAGGAAGCCUAUUCACAAUAGUCUCUUCCAAACUGAAACCAUCUACACCACUGACACAUGGGGAAACAAAAUUAAAUCUGGUGGUCGGAUGAUUCAGUGGUGUAGGAGGAGGAUGGAGGUACCAGUGUUCCAGCUUCAACAUUCAGCAGAACUUUGCCAGCGUGGCAGAAACAAGCCACAAACGCUGAUGAGGCUUUACACAUCAGUGGAAGGCAAAUUAUGGCACUGAGAUUCCAAACAACUUGGAUGUUUUACAGCAGCAGAAACUGGGAGACUAGUUGGGAUAGAGGGAGGGAUGAACGCAGCAAUGUACAGAAAUGUCCUGUAUGAAAACCUGUGGCUUGGCAGGAUGACGACACAAAGCACCUGGCCAAGAUCUCACAGGAAUAGCUUCAGAACCACUCAGGAAAAAACAAAGCAAUGAACAAAGUCAUUCCAUUUUUAAAAAUGGACUGAUAUGUAAACGUGAUUGUCCCAGAGUUGCAAAGUCCAGAAUUGAAUCUGACUGAACAUUUCUGAAGAGACGCCCCAUCCAAACCGACGGGAGUCCAACUAGAGUGGAUGGGGCUAACAGCAUAACAAUGCAAGUACGGUACACCUUCUCAAAGAUCAAUAAGCUAAUUUUGAAAGAAUAUAACACUGCAAUUGGACGACAUUUUAUAUAUCCUAAAUACACAAACAAACCAUAAAUAAAUGAAAUGGAUUAUGAAGUCUCUGUAAGAAAAUUUGACCUUCAAAAUAUAUUCAUCUUUGGUUUGAUACACAGGAGGGACGCCGCUUCCUCUCCGUUUUGCACAUUGAAGCAACAGUCGCUCGCCCUCCAAAAUAAGAUGGAGGGUUAGAUUAGCUAAAGAUAAAAGGUUUGUUCAGUAACUAGCAGAAUAUACCACAUUUUAUCGUUAAAUAAGAGUUGACAGCUAAUUCCAAAUCAAACUCAAAACUAUGAAAAAUAUCAAACUAAUUUAACUGACAAACAACAGUCCAAUUCCACAUUACAACAAGAAACACAGACCAGACUCAUGUUUUCUAACACUGUUAGUGGUUAUUGUUCACAAUAACCAGGUUUCAGUCUGAUUUUAAAAUUAAAAUAAAGCCACUCACAAAGUCAUUUCUUUUUAAAAAAUGGUAUAUAAAUGAAAAAUCAUCAUUGUCUUCAUACAACUAAACCUUUGCAGACUGGAGCACUAAACCAUAUUAAAGAAUCACAAACAGCAAGGAAGUUUUUUUUUAAUUUCUCAGCUGAUAGGAAAUGAUGUCUUUAAGAAAAGUUCAGUACUUUCUGGCAGGUUAAGGCAUGCAGCUUUGCGAGUGAGGGUAAGAUGGAGACAUAGUUCAGUCAUCAGAUGAAGCAGCAUGAAAGCAAUGCAGACAAAAUGCAUUACAAUGUCUCCUGGAGCACCAACAGACACCAGAGAGGUAACAGUGAGUGCAAUUUCCCAAGA
Molecule: long non-coding RNA, 4378 nt
Organism: Gambusia affinis (western mosquitofish)
Lineage: Eukaryota; Metazoa; Chordata; Actinopteri; Cyprinodontiformes; Poeciliidae
Exons: 4
Source: RefSeq, a predicted model, not a curated record